Paenibacillus sp. IHB B 3415 is the source of this 217-nucleotide non-coding RNA. Lineage: Bacteria; Bacillati; Bacillota; Bacilli; Caryophanales; Paenibacillaceae. The record is from Rfam.
GGAUGAGGUAGAGGUCGCGGAUAUAAAGAGUACGCGCGUGGAGAUGCCUAAGAGCCAUCUAUGAUACGUGCCGAAAGGAAUAUCCGCCGAAAUCCGGGCUGCUGCUCUUAGUUUAGCAGCGCGGAUUGGGGCCGUCAGCCGAAAGGCGCGGAACUGUCACCGUGUACUUGCCUGUCAGGAAACUGCUGGAAUUGCACCGUGUUGCGCUAUCUUAACA